Molecule: ribosomal RNA, 548 nt
Filed under: uncultured Glomus
Lineage: Eukaryota; Fungi; Glomeromycota; Glomeromycetes; Glomerales; Glomeraceae
Description: SSU rRNA
Rfam family: Eukaryotic small subunit ribosomal RNA
Source: RNAcentral
UUGGAGGGCAAGUCUGGUGCCAGCAGCCGCGGUAAUUCCAGCUCCAAUAGCGUAUAUUAAAGUUGUUGCAGUUAAAAAGCUCGUAGUUGAAUUUCGGGAUCAAUAUGCCGGUCAUGCCUUGGUAUGCACUGGUAUCUUUGAUUUCUCCCUUCUGACGAACUUUGAUGUCAUUAAUUUGGUGUCAUAGGGAAUCAGGACUGUUACUUUGAAAAAAUUAGAGUGUUUAAAGCAAGCUCACGCUUGAAUACAUUAGCAUGGAAUAAUGAAAUAGGACGUUUGAUUCUAUUUUGUUGGUUUCUAGGAUCGACGUAAUGAUUAAUAGGGAUAGUUGGGGGCAUUAGUAUACAAUUGUCAGAGGUGAAAUUCUUGGAUUUAUUGAAGACUAACUACUGCGAAAGCAUUUGCCAAGGAUGUUUUCAUUAAUCAAGAACGAAAGUUAGGGGAUCGAAGACGAUCAGAUACCGUCGUAGUCUUAACCAUAAACUAUGCCGACUAGGGAUCGGAUGAUGUUAAUUUUUUAAUGACUCAUUCGGCACCUUACGGGAAAC